RNAcentral lists this long non-coding RNA (583 nucleotides) under Brachypodium distachyon (stiff brome). Its description in RNAcentral is "long non-coding RNA (BDIS_LNC000664)". The record is from RNAcentral. Lineage: Eukaryota; Viridiplantae; Streptophyta; Magnoliopsida; Poales; Poaceae.
UGAUAAGUUGAUUUUAAUAUAUUGUUCGUUGUCAACCUUUUCAAUAUUGAGAGAUUGAAAGCUACAGUGUUGUGCAUUUUGUUAUGGACUUCCGAAAUCUACUUAGUCUGGUAACCUGAGAUUGUUGCAAACUUGCAAUGCAAUGGAAAUGCUCACUGAUAUUUUUUGCUGUUUCACCCCAUGAUAGGAGAAACCAGAGAAGCCAGCCAUGAAACCAGUCCAGAUGAAUAUAAUGCCAGACAGCGCCAUCCUGAGCUCCUGAGUGCUUCCUACCCCCGGGGACAGCGGCAUAUUCUAUUAUCAUCUUCCUCGACGAACCACGCCGUAUAUAUCCAUGUUGUCAUCUGGCCAAUAGAAAAUUAUCACAGAAAUGAUAUGAUAUUGUGGCGCUGUAGCAUAAGCAAACCACGCCGUAUAUAUCCAUGUUGUCAUCUGGCCAAUAGAAAAUUAUCACAGAAAUGAUAUGAUAUUGUGGCGCUGUAGCAUAAGCAUAGUUGUAUCACAGUACUGAGUGUAGAAUGUCAUCGAGUAUAUAUAUGGUAUGUUGUGGUUGAGUGAAUAAAGUGGGAGCAAAACGGAUGUG